RNAcentral lists this long non-coding RNA (865 nucleotides) under Brachypodium distachyon (stiff brome). RNAcentral describes it as "long non-coding RNA (BDIS_LNC004725)". The record is from RNAcentral. Lineage: Eukaryota; Viridiplantae; Streptophyta; Magnoliopsida; Poales; Poaceae.
AUUGGCAAUCUCCAACUCGCUCACGGCUCUCUGACUCGAGUUUUUGGCCCGGGUUUCGGCUUCUUGGAGGCGUCGACGAAGGAACUCUAGUUCCCUUCGAGUCUUGUCCAGGGUAGGAACCUCCUUUAGAGCCGUCGACUCUGCGGUUUCCGGAGGGAGCAUCUCAGCCGAGAUCGCGGCUCUCGCGAUAUUCGGCUCACAUGUCACAACCUUCUCUGUGUCUACCUCGACUGUCAAAGUUGUGGGCUCUUUCUGCCGUUGCAGAAGAGAAAUACCCCCUUUUUCAGUCCUGGAAAGGAUUCAAAGACACGAGUCUUAACUAAAAGCAAGGAGUCCGAUUCAUAUCAGUGCAAAGGAAUGAGGAUGUUUCUUUAGUAAUAUUGCUCGCAUUUGAGCAAGAAAGAUACAAGAAAAAAAGAAAAAAUACAAAGAGGAUAGGCGAAAGCCUAAAGAAGUCCAAGCCUCAAGCUGGGCCCACCUCCUGGCUCGGUGCAGGAGUCGAUGAUGGAGGAGCCGCUCCUCCCUCAGAUGCCAUGCUCCCCAGUUGAGCCGACAGCUGGCCCACCAGUUCUUCCCCAAGCUGGAAGUAAGGCGUCAAAGGCACCUCCUCCCUGCUGGGUAACAAGGGAACACCCGAAGCCACCUUCCGCAGCAAGUCUUCAUCGACGCCGUGUGCUAGCGCUAACACGAACGUCGACUCCGCACCGGAGUUGGUCUGAACCCAGAUAAACCCGUCCAGAGGAUCCGGGUCAGCGCUGAAAAGCUCUACGAGUUUCCCUAGUGACUCAGGCACCGGCUCGUCGCGAAACAUCUUCCCGAACAAACCGGUGAGCACCCGGGAGGCUCCCUAGACUCCAGUCGCCGC